CACGUAGGCGGGAAUUUAAGUCAGAUGUGAAAGACCGGGGCUCAACUCCGGGGUGGCAUUUGAAACUGAAUUUCUUGAGGGCAGGAGAGGAAAGCAGAAUUCCUGGUGUAGCGGUGAAAUGCGUAGAAAUCAGGAGGAAUACCAGUGGCGAAGGCGGCUUUCUGGACUGUCCCUGACGCUGAGGUGCGAAAGCGUGGGUAGCAAACA
RNAcentral lists this ribosomal RNA (207 nucleotides) under uncultured Clostridia bacterium. Its description in RNAcentral is "partial 16S ribosomal RNA". It matches the Rfam family "Bacterial small subunit ribosomal RNA", at positions 568 to 774 of the family's 1533-position model. The record is from RNAcentral. Lineage: Bacteria; Bacillati; Bacillota; Clostridia. RNAcentral also lists the same sequence under 1 other name.